Molecule: ribosomal RNA, 497 nt
Filed under: uncultured bacterium
Lineage: Bacteria
Description: partial 16S ribosomal RNA
Rfam family: Bacterial small subunit ribosomal RNA
Source: RNAcentral
GAUGAACGCUGGCGGCGUGCCUAAUACAUGCAAGUCGAGCGAACAGACGAGGAGCUUGCUCCUCAGACGUUAGCGGCGGACGGGUGAGUAACACGUGGAUAACCUACCUAUAAGACGGGGAUAACUUCGGGAAAACGGAGCUAAUCCCGGACAAUAACUUGAACCGCAUGGUUCAAUAGUGAACGACGGUUUUGAUAUCACUGAUAGAUGGAUCCGCGCCGCAUUAGCUAGUUGGUAAGGUAGCGGCUUACCAAGGCAACGAUGCGUAGAGGAGCUGAGAGCGUGAUUGGCCACACUGGAACUGAGACACGGCCCAGACUCCUGCGGGAGGCAGCAGUCGGGAAUCUUCCGCAAUGGGCGAAAGCCUGACGGAGCAAAGCCGCGUGAGUGAUGAAGGUCUUCGGAUCGUAAAACUCUGUUAUAAGGGAAGAACAAAUGUGUAAGUAACUAGGCACGUCUUGACGGUACCUAAUCAGAAAGCCACGGCUAACUACGUG